RNAcentral lists this ribosomal RNA (253 nucleotides) under uncultured bacterium. RNAcentral's name for it is "partial 16S ribosomal RNA". It matches the Rfam family "Bacterial small subunit ribosomal RNA", at positions 524 to 776 of the family's 1533-position model. The record is from RNAcentral.
UACGGAGGGUGCAAGCGUUAAUCGGAAUUACUGGGCGUAAAGCGCACGUAGGUGGUUUGUUAAGCUAGCUGUGAAAUCCCCGGGCUCAACCUGGGCACUGCAGUUAGAACUGGCAAGCUAGAGUAGGGUAGAGGGGUGUGGAAUUCCAGGUGUAGCGGUGAAAUGCGUAGAUAUCUGGAGGAACAUCAGUGGCGAAAGCGGCUUCCUGGACCAGUACCGACGUUCAGGCACGAAAGCGUGGGGAGCAAACAGG